CCUACGGGGGGCAGCAGUGGGGAAUAUUGCACAAUGGCGGAAACCCUGAUGCAGCGACGCCGCGUGAGUGAAGAAGUAUUUCGGUAUUUAAAGCUCUAUCAGCAGGGAAGAAGAAAGACGGUACCUGACUAAGAAGCCCCGGCUAACUACGGGCCAGCAGGCGCGGUAAUACGUAGGGGGCACGCGGUAUCCGGAUUUACUGGGUGUAAAGGGAGCGUAUACGGGUGUGCAAGUCUGAAGUGAAAGGCCAGGGCUCAACCCUGGGACUGCCUUUGAAACUGUGGGGCUUGAGUGCUGGAGAGGUAAGUGGAAUGCGUAGUGUAGCGGUGAAAUGCGUAGAUAUUAGGAAGAACUCCAGUGGCGAAGGCGGCUUACUGGAGAGUAACUGACGUUGAGGCUCGAAAGCGUGGGGAGCGAACAGGAUUAGAUACCCUGGUAGUC
This 441-nucleotide ribosomal RNA is filed under the name uncultured bacterium. Its description in RNAcentral is "partial 16S ribosomal RNA". It matches the Rfam family "Bacterial small subunit ribosomal RNA", at positions 338 to 795 of the family's 1533-position model. The record is from RNAcentral.